GCCAUAGCUCAGUCACAGAGCAUCUGCUUUGCACGCAGAAGGUCCCAGGUUCAAUUCCCACUGAGAGCA
Podarcis lilfordi (Lilford's wall lizard) is the source of this 69-nucleotide non-coding RNA. Lineage: Eukaryota; Metazoa; Chordata; Lepidosauria; Squamata; Lacertidae. The record is from the annotation of a GenBank genome assembly.